GGUUAAGCUACUAAGGGCAGACGGUGGAUGCCUUGGUAUCGGUAGGCGAUGAAGGACGCGGAAAGCUGCGAUAAGCUUCGGGGAGCCGCUAACAGGCUUUGAUCCGGAGAUUUCCGAAUGGGGAAACCCAGCCGGGGUAAUACCCGGUUAUCCUGCACUCAAUACAUAGGUGCAUGAGGCGAACGCAGGGAAUUGAAACAUCUAAGUACCUGCAGGAAAAGAAAAUAAUAAUGAUUCCGUCAGUAGCGGCGAGCGAACGCGGACCAGCCCAAACCGUAUACUUUUCGGAGUAUACGGGGUUGUGGGGCCCCGACAUGGGAUUGCGGAAGGAUAGUGGAACGGCAUGGAAAGGCCGGCCAUAGACGGUGAUAGCCCGGUACACGAAAUCCAGAAGCACUCUAGGGGUACCCCGAGUACCACGGGACACGAGAAACCCUGUGGGAAUCCGGGAGGACCAUCUCCCAAGGCUAAAUACUAACCGAUAACCGAUAGUGAACCAGUACCGUGAGGGAAAGGUGAAAAGUACGGGGGGACCCGAGUGAAAUAGUACCUGAAACCGUCUGCUUACAAGCAGUGGGAGCACUAUGUUGCUUGCAACAGUGUGACCGCGUGCCUUUUGCAUAAUGAGUCAACGACUUACCCUGUGUAGCGAGGUUAAGCCGCGAGGUGUAGCCGUAGCGAAAGCGAGUCUUAAUAGGGCGUUUAGUUACAUGGGGUAGACCCGAAGCCGGGUGAUCUAUCCAUGGCCAGGGUGAAGCGAAGGUAAUACUUCGUGGAGGCCCGAACCACUAUAGGUUGAAAACUGUUUGGAUGAGCUGUGGAUAGGAGUGAAAGGCUAAUCAAACUCGGUGAUAGCUGGUUUUCUCCGAAAUAUAUUUAGGUAUAGCCUCGUAUGUUUACUGACGGAGGUAGAGCACUGAUUGGACUAGGGGUCUCACCAGAUUACCAAACCCAUUCAAACUCCGAAUGCCGUCAAGUUAGAGUACGGGAGUCAGACUACGGGAGAUAAGUUCCGUGGUCGAGAGGGAAAGAACCCAGACCGCCAGCUAAGGUCCCUAAAUUCAUGCUAAGUGGAAAAGGAGGUGGAACUGCCCAGACAACCAGGAGGUUGGCUUAGAAGCAGCAAUCCUUUAAAGAAAGCGUAACAGCUCACUGGUCGAGUGGGGCUGCGCCGAAAAUUCAACGGGGCUUAAGCAUGGUACCGAAGCUGCGGAUUUCAGAGGACAGAGUACAGAUGACAGAAGACUACCCAGAAGACAGAAGACGGAAGACAGAGAACAGAUUUUUUUAAUCUGACAUCUGCCCUCUGAAAUCUGUCAUCUGGAACUGGCUUCGAUAUUGUCUGGAUCUGGAAUAUAUUGAUAGAGAGACAUGGCACCGAUGGCGAGAAGAGUAUCAGGAGAUAAGUAAGAUGUUACAGGGACUGCACAGAAGUUGGAAAUAGUUUUUAUC
This 1452-nucleotide ribosomal RNA is filed under the name Deltaproteobacteria bacterium. RNAcentral's name for it is "partial 23S ribosomal RNA". It matches the Rfam family "Bacterial large subunit ribosomal RNA", at positions 1 to 1338 of the family's 2925-position model. The record is from RNAcentral. Lineage: Bacteria; Pseudomonadati; Myxococcota; Myxococcia.